AUUGAACGCUGGCGGCAUGCCUAACACAUGCAAGUCGAACGGCAGCACAGUGCGUAGCAAUACGUAUGGGUGGCGAGUGGCGGACGGGUGAGGAAUGCAUCGGAAUCUACCCAGUAGCGGGGGAUAACCUGGGGAAACUCAGGCUAAUACCGCAUACGACCUAUGGGUGAAAGCGGGGGACCGUAAGGCCUCGCACUAUUGGAUGAGCCGAUGCCGGAUAGCUAGUUGGUAGGGUAACGGCCUACCAAGGCGACGAUCCGUAGCUGGUCUGAGAGGACGAUCAGCCACACCGGAACUGAGACACGGUCCGGACUCCUACGGGAGGCAGCAGUGGGAAUAUUGGACAAUGGGGGAAACCCUGAUCCAGCAAUGCCGCGUGUGUGAAGAAGGCCUGCGGGUUGUAAAGCACUUUCGGAGGGGAACAAAAGCGUCGGCUAACACCCAGCGUCUUGAUUUAACCCUUAUAAGAAGCACCGGCUAACUCUGUGCCAGCCGCCGCGGUAAC
RNAcentral lists this ribosomal RNA (505 nucleotides) under uncultured bacterium. RNAcentral describes it as "bacterial SSU rRNA". It matches the Rfam family "Bacterial small subunit ribosomal RNA", at positions 29 to 524 of the family's 1533-position model. The record is from RNAcentral.